CUCUAAGGCGCUUGAGAGAACUCAGGAGAAGGAACUCGGCAAAUUGACACCGUAACUUCGGAAGAAGGUGUGCCUUUAGUAGGUGAACCUGUACAAGGGGAGCCCAAUGAGGUUGCAAAAAAUCGGUGGCUGCGACUGUUUAUUAAAAACACAGCACUCUGCAAACACGAAAGUGGACGUAUAGGGUGUGACGCCUGCCCGGUGCUGGAAGAUUAAAUGAUGGGGUGCAAGCUCUUGAUUGAAGUCCCAGUAAACGGCGGCCGUAACAAUAACGGUCCUAAGGUAGCGAAAUUCCUUGUCGGGUAAGUUCCGACCUGCACGAAUGGCGUAACGAUGGCCACACUGUCUCCUCCUGAGACUCAGCGAAGUUGAAAUGUUUGUGAUGAUGCAAUCUCCCCGCGGAAAGACGGAAAGACCCCAUGAACCUUUACUGUAGCUUUGUAUUGGACUUUGAACAGAUCUGUGUAGGAUAGGUGGGAGGCUUUGAAGCAGGGUCGCUAGAUUUUGUGGAGCCAACGUUGAAAUACCACCCUGGUGUGUUUGAGGUUCUAACCUAGGUCCAUUAUCUGGAUCGGGGACAGUGCAUGGUAGGCAGUUUGACUGGGGCGGUCUCCUCCCAAAGCGUAACGGAGGAGUUCGAAGGUACGCUAGUUACGGUCGGACAUCGUGACGAUAGUGCAAUGGCAUAAGCGUGCUUAACUGCGAGACUGACAAGUCGAGCAGAUGCGAAAGCAGGACAUAGUGAUCCGGUGGUUCUGUAUGGAAGGGCCAUCGCUCAACGGAUAAAAGGUACUCUGGGGAUAACAGGCUGAUACCGCCCAAGAGUUCAUAUCGACGGCGGUGUUUGGCACCUCGAUGUCGGCUCAUCUCAUCCUGGGGCUGUAGCCGGUCCCAAGGGUAUGGCUGUUCGCCAUUUAAAGAGGUACGUGAGCUGGGUUUAAAACGUCGUGAGACAGUUUGGUCCCUAUCUUCCGUGGGCGCUGCAGAUUUGAGGAAGCCUGCUCCUAGUACGAGAGGACCGGAGUGGACAUACCUCUGGUGUAUCGGUUGUCACGCCAGUGGCAUUGCCGAGUAGCUAAGUAUGGAAGAGAUAAACGCUGAAAGCAUCUAAGCGUGAAACUCGUUUCAAGAUGAGAUCUGCCGGGGCCUUGAGCCCCCUAAAGAGUCGUUCAAGACCAGGACGUUGAUAGGUCAGGUGUGGAAGCGCAGUAAUGCGUUAAGCUAACUGAUACUAAUUGCUCGUGCGGCUUGACCCC
Molecule: ribosomal RNA, 1256 nt
Filed under: metagenome
Description: bacterial LSU rRNA
Rfam family: Bacterial large subunit ribosomal RNA
Source: RNAcentral